GGUUGGUCCAAAGGUAGUCAGUUACCUUAAUAGAUUGUUCACAGUCAGUUACAAAUGGAACACCUUGUUCUACUACUGUACUUGACUAGUCUUUA
Y RNA from Callithrix jacchus (white-tufted-ear marmoset), 95 nucleotides. It matches the Rfam family "Y RNA". From Rfam's summary of the family: Y RNAs are components of the Ro ribonucleoprotein particle (Ro RNP), in association with Ro60 and La proteins. The record is from Ensembl. NCBI's taxonomy places the organism in Eukaryota, Metazoa, Chordata, Mammalia, Primates, Cebidae.